This 167-nucleotide ribosomal RNA is filed under the name uncultured eukaryote. RNAcentral's name for it is "partial 18S ribosomal RNA". It matches the Rfam family "Eukaryotic small subunit ribosomal RNA", at positions 1299 to 1458 of the family's 1831-position model. The record is from RNAcentral.
UGGUGGGUUGCCUUGUCAGGUUGAUUCCGGUAACGAACGAGACCUCAGCCUGCUAAAUAGUUACUCCUACUUUGGUACAUAGUAAUAGUAAUAGGUACUCCUACAAGGAGGCGAACUUCUUAGAGGGACUAUUGGCGUUUAGCUAAUGGAAGUGUGAGGCAAUAACA